UGGUGGCACUGUUUAGCACUGGUCAGGC
RNAcentral lists this non-coding RNA (28 nucleotides) under Mus musculus (house mouse). Lineage: Eukaryota; Metazoa; Chordata; Mammalia; Rodentia; Muridae. The record is from RNAcentral.